AGUGGCGGCGGCGCCGAGGCGGAGGGCGGCGAUGGGGGCCCGGGGCGGCGGGCGCCGCACUCGCUGAGGCCCCGACGCAGGGCCGGGCCGGGCCCAGGCCGCGCGCGCCGACGCGAGAACCGCGACCAGCAGGUGGAGUGCAGGCCCUGCAGGUCGGACACCCUUGAGGACAGCCAUCGCCUGGCCCUGCUAGCCUGUGCCUUGGACGGCUGUUCUCAGUGAAGGACCGUGCGGCCG
Molecule: long non-coding RNA, 237 nt
Filed under: Rattus norvegicus (Norway rat)
Lineage: Eukaryota; Metazoa; Chordata; Mammalia; Rodentia; Muridae
Description: long non-coding RNA NONRATT017258
Source: RNAcentral